Molecule: ribosomal RNA, 301 nt
Filed under: uncultured bacterium
Lineage: Bacteria
Description: partial 16S ribosomal RNA
Rfam family: Bacterial small subunit ribosomal RNA
Source: RNAcentral
CAGUAGCCGCGGGAAUACGAAGGGGGCUAGCGUUACUCGGAAUUACUGGGCGUAAAGGGCGCGUAGGCGGCACGAUUAGUCAGGCGUGAAAUUCCUGGGCUCAACCUGGGGACUGCGCUUGAUACGGUCGAGCUAGAGGAUGGAAGAGGGUCGUGGAAUUCCCAGUGUAGAGGUGAAAUUCGUAGAUAUUGGGAAGAACACCGGUGGCGAAGGCGGCGACCUGGUCCAUUACUGACGCUGAGGCGCGACAGCGUGGGGAGCAAACAGGAUUAGAUACCCCCGUAGUCCCUGUCUCUUAUAA